This 1528-nucleotide ribosomal RNA is filed under the name Klebsiella pneumoniae. RNAcentral's name for it is "bacterial SSU rRNA". It matches the Rfam family "Bacterial small subunit ribosomal RNA". RNAcentral also lists the same sequence under 2 other names. Lineage: Bacteria; Pseudomonadati; Pseudomonadota; Gammaproteobacteria; Enterobacterales; Enterobacteriaceae. The record is from RNAcentral.
AGAGUUUGAUCAUGGCUCAGAUUGAACGCUGGCGGCAGGCCUAACACAUGCAAGUCGAGCGGUAGCACAGAGAGCUUGCUCUCGGGUGACGAGCGGCGGACGGGUGAGUAAUGUCUGGGAAACUGCCUGAUGGAGGGGGAUAACUACUGGAAACGGUAGCUAAUACCGCAUAACGUCGCAAGACCAAAGUGGGGGACCUUCGGGCCUCAUGCCAUCAGAUGUGCCCAGAUGGGAUUAGCUAGUAGGUGGGGUAACGGCUCACCUAGGCGACGAUCCCUAGCUGGUCUGAGAGGAUGACCAGCCACACUGGAACUGAGACACGGUCCAGACUCCUACGGGAGGCAGCAGUGGGGAAUAUUGCACAAUGGGCGCAAGCCUGAUGCAGCCAUGCCGCGUGUGUGAAGAAGGCCUUCGGGUUGUAAAGCACUUUCAGCGGGGAGGAAGGCGGUGAGGUUAAUAACCUCAUCGAUUGACGUUACCCGCAGAAGAAGCACCGGCUAACUCCGUGCCAGCAGCCGCGGUAAUACGGAGGGUGCAAGCGUUAAUCGGAAUUACUGGGCGUAAAGCGCACGCAGGCGGUCUGUCAAGUCGGAUGUGAAAUCCCCGGGCUCAACCUGGGAACUGCAUUCGAAACUGGCAGGCUAGAGUCUUGUAGAGGGGGGUAGAAUUCCAGGUGUAGCGGUGAAAUGCGUAGAGAUCUGGAGGAAUACCGGUGGCGAAGGCGGCCCCCUGGACAAAGACUGACGCUCAGGUGCGAAAGCGUGGGGAGCAAACAGGAUUAGAUACCCUGGUAGUCCACGCUGUAAACGAUGUCGAUUUGGAGGUUGUGCCCUUGAGGCGUGGCUUCCGGAGCUAACGCGUUAAAUCGACCGCCUGGGGAGUACGGCCGCAAGGUUAAAACUCAAAUGAAUUGACGGGGGCCCGCACAAGCGGUGGAGCAUGUGGUUUAAUUCGAUGCAACGCGAAGAACCUUACCUGGUCUUGACAUCCACAGAACUUUCCAGAGAUGGAUUGGUGCCUUCGGGAACUGUGAGACAGGUGCUGCAUGGCUGUCGUCAGCUCGUGUUGUGAAAUGUUGGGUUAAGUCCCGCAACGAGCGCAACCCUUAUCCUUUGUUGCCAGCGGUUAGGCCGGGAACUCAAAGGAGACUGCCAGUGAUAAACUGGAGGAAGGUGGGGAUGACGUCAAGUCAUCAUGGCCCUUACGACCAGGGCUACACACGUGCUACAAUGGCAUAUACAAAGAGAAGCGACCUCGCGAGAGCAAGCGGACCUCAUAAAGUAUGUCGUAGUCCGGAUUGGAGUCUGCAACUCGACUCCAUGAAGUCGGAAUCGCUAGUAAUCGUAGAUCAGAAUGCUACGGUGAAUACGUUCCCGGGCCUUGUACACACCGCCCGUCACACCAUGGGAGUGGGUUGCAAAAGAAGUAGGUAGCUUAACCUUCGGGAGGGCGCUUACCACUUUGUGAUUCAUGACUGGGGUGAAGUCGUAACAAGGUAACCGUAGGGGAACCUGCGGUUGGAUCACCU